GACGAACGCUGGCGGCGUGCCUAAUACAUGCAAGUCGAACGCAGUGGGGACGGGUGAGUAACACGUGGGUAACCUCCCAUCAGAGGGGAUAACACUUGGAAACAGGUGCUAAACCGCUACUGAUGGAUGGACCCGCGGUGCAUUAGCUAGUUGGGUAGGUAACGGCUCACCAAGGCCACGAUGCAUAGCCGGCCUGAGAGGGUGAAUGGCCACACUGGGAAUGAGACAAGGCCCAGACUCCUACGGGAGGGAGUAGUGGGGAAUGUUUCGCAAUUGACGAAAGUCUGACCGAGCAACGCCGCGUGAGGGAAGAAGGUUUUCGGAUCGUAAAACUCUGUUGUUAGAGAAGCGGUAUCUAACCAGAAAGCCAAGGCUAACUACGUGCCAGCAGCCGCGGUAAUAC
Molecule: ribosomal RNA, 403 nt
Filed under: uncultured bacterium
Lineage: Bacteria
Description: partial 16S ribosomal RNA
Rfam family: Bacterial small subunit ribosomal RNA
Source: RNAcentral